GGAGAGGUGGCCGAGUGGUUGAAGGCGCACGCUUGGAAAGCGUGUGACGGCUGAAAAGUUGUUCAGGAGUUCGAAUCUCCUCCUCUCCG
RNAcentral lists this transfer RNA (89 nucleotides) under Candidatus Omnitrophota bacterium. Its description in RNAcentral is "tRNA-Ser". It matches the Rfam family "tRNA". Rfam says of the family: Transfer RNA (tRNA) molecules are approximately 80 nucleotides in length. Their secondary structure includes four short double-helical elements and three loops (D, anti-codon, and T loops). The record is from RNAcentral. Lineage: Bacteria; Pseudomonadati; Candidatus Omnitrophota.